This 1616-nucleotide ribosomal RNA is filed under the name activated sludge metagenome. RNAcentral describes it as "bacterial LSU rRNA". It matches the Rfam family "Bacterial large subunit ribosomal RNA", at positions 1222 to 2925 of the family's 2925-position model. The record is from RNAcentral.
GGCGUGGUAGAGGAGCAUUCUGAACGCGUUGAAGCGCGAUGGCGACUGACCGUGGAGUGUUCAGAAGUGAGGAUGCAGACAUGAGUAACGAAAAGACGGGUGAAAUCCCCGUCCGCCGUAAACCCAAGGUUUCCCGGGCCACGUUUUUCGUCCCGGGGUUAGUCGGGACCUAAGCCGAGGCGGAGACGCGUAGGCGAUGGACAGCGGGUUAAUAUUCCCGCACUUGCGAACCUUAACCCGGAAGGACGCAUCGAUGGAGGCAACCAAGUGAUUGAAUUCCCAGGUGAGGCUUCGGCUGAUCCGCAUUGCCAAAGUCGGUGCCUAGAAAAGUUCCGGUGCAUGCUAAGCAACCCGUACCGCAAACCGACACAGGUGGGUGGGUAGAAUAUACCAAGGCGUAAGAGUGAACCCCGGUUAAGGAACUCGGCAAAUUGGCCCCGUAACUUCGGGAGAAGGGGUGCCUGGUUUCGAUCAGGCCGCAGUGAAAUGGCCCAACCGACUGUUUAGCAAAAACACAGCAUUCUGCCAAGCCGCAAGGCCAAGUAUAGGAUGUGACACGUGACCAAUGCGGAAAGAUUAAGGUAAGAUGUUAGCCGCAAGGCGAAGCUUUGAGCCCAAGUCCCCGUGAAUGUCGGCCGUAACUAUAACGGUCCUAAGGUAGCGAAAUUCCUUGUCGGGUAAGUUCCGACCUGCACGAAUCGUGAAACGAGUUGGGCGCUGUCUCAACCGGGUGCUCAGUGAAAUUGUAAUGGCGGUGAAGAUGCCGCCUGCCCGCAGAAGGACGGAAAGACCCUAUAGACCUUAACUGUAAGCUGUCAUUGGUUCUUCGAUUUUCAUGCUCAGCAUAAGUGGGAGACUUUGAUGCGGUCCUUCAGGGGAUCGCGGAGUCGCCAGUGAGAUACCACCCUUGGGUGUUGGAGGAUCUAACCUCGGUCCCGUGAAUCCGGGCGAGGGACAUUGUCAGCCGGUCAGUUUUACUGGGGCGGUAUCCUCCCAAAGAGUAACGGAGGAGCGCGAAGGUGGGUUCAGCACGGUCGGUAACCGUGUGUCGAGUGCAUUGGCAUAAACCCGCCUAACUGUGAGACCCACAAGUCGAGCAGAUGGGAAACCAGGCCAAAGUGAUCCGGCGGUAGAAUGUGGAAUUGCCGUCGCUCAACGGAUAAAAGGUACCUUAGGGAUAACAGGCUGAUUUCAUCCAAGAGUUCAUAUCGACGAUGAAGUUUGGCACCUCGAUGUCGGCUCGUCGCAUCCUGGGGCUGGAGAAGGUCCCAAGGGUCCGGCUGUUCGCCGGUUAAAGCGGCACGCGAGCUGGGUUCAGAACGUCGCGAGACAGUUCGGUCCUCUAUCCUCUGUGGGCGCAGGAAAAUUGCGGGGUUCGGUUCCUAGUACGAGAGGACCGGAAUCGACGCACCUCUGGUGCACCGGUUGUUCUGUCAAGAGCAUGGCCGGGUAGCUACGUGCGGAAGGGAUAAGCGCUGAAAGCAUCUAAGCGCCAAGCCCCUCCCAAGAUGAAUUUUCCCCGAAGGAUCGUCGGAGACCACGACGUUGAUAGGCUUCAGGUGGAAGCGUGGCAACACGUUGAGCCGAGAAGUACUAAUCAUCCGUUCGGCUUGAUU